Molecule: ribosomal RNA, 851 nt
Filed under: Tabuina varirata
Lineage: Eukaryota; Metazoa; Arthropoda; Arachnida; Araneae; Salticidae
Description: eukaryotic LSU rRNA
Rfam family: Eukaryotic large subunit ribosomal RNA
Source: RNAcentral
CCUAAGGCUAAAUACCGCCGUGAGACCGAUAGCAAACAAGUACCGUGAGGGAAAGUUGCAAAGAACUUUGAAGAGAGAGUUCAAGAGUACGUGAAACUGCUCAGAGGUAAACGGGUGGGCCCUCGAAAUCCUGUGGGGAGAGGAUUCAGUCUGGCGUCCCGGAGGCGCGUGGCCGGAAUUCAGUGAUGGCAUCCCGGGGAUCCGGGGCCGUCCGGCCGCGCCGUUUCGGGCUUCGUCCGACGCAUUUGACUCUCCCCCGAAAGGACGCAGCAACCGGUCGGGCAAUGCAAGCACGCCGGCCUGAAGGUCGGGGAAAGGCAGGUGGCCGGUGGGACGCGGGUUCUCCGCGGCUCCGCCGGUUGUUAGCCGCCCCGUCAGUGGCCCGUCGCCCGACCGAGGUAAAAGGGUUCCCUCGGGGACCCGCUUCCGCCACCUCCCGCAAUCGGGAUGGCGGACUGAUCGCCGCCGGCGUCGGGAAGCCGCCUGGUCGCACCCCGAGUAGGGUGGACCGGAUGCCGGCCCGCGUCGGAAGCGGCGGCGGACCCCUCGGUGGUCGGAGGCUCGCUGCGAGUAGGUCGGUCACCCACCCGACCCGUCUUGAAACACGGACCAAGGAGUCUAACAUGUGCGCGAGUCAUUGGGACUUGAACAGGCCCAGAGGCGCAAUGAAAGCAAAGGCCGGCGUCACGCCGGCCGAGUUGGGAUCCUUCCCCCGAGCGGGGGAGGCGCACCGACGACCCGUCCCGUCCGGCUCGCCGGUGGGGCGGAGUUCGAGCGCACACGUUGGGACCCGAAAGAUGGUGACCUAUGCCCGGGCAGGACGACGCCAGAGGAAACUCUGGUGGAGGUCC